RNAcentral lists this long non-coding RNA (644 nucleotides) under Olea europaea subsp. europaea. The record is from RNAcentral. Lineage: Eukaryota; Viridiplantae; Streptophyta; Magnoliopsida; Lamiales; Oleaceae.
CUCUCUUGUAAUUAAGUCGGAAAUAGAUAAUUUUAUCUACCUUGUAUGUUUAAUAUUAUAAUUUCGACGGAGUGGGAAUCCCGUUGUUAAUAAAUGAAAAAAAGAAAUAACACUUAUUAAAAUGUGAAAUAAAAAAAAUAUCAUCCCAACUUGAUUCUUGAAUGAAACAAAAACAAAAACUAAGGCAGGCUAUACAAUGUGCUUUCUUAUACGACAUAAUGAUAAAAUUGACUCGUGGGAUCGACACGAAGCGUCAAAAUGGUUGCAUCGAACAAAAUGAAUUCCAUAUAAAUAUGAAGCACCCGAUACAAAUUACAGCAAAUUAAGGAAGAAGACCAAUGUAUGGAGCGGGUACUAUGUACCUAGGAUUUGUCGGAAACUCCAUCGUGCUUUGUCUAAUAACUGUUCCAACAGCCUCGAUGAAGACAACGACGAACUCUAUGACAAGCUUCAAUAGUUUUAUGCACAUUUCAAUCCUCGAAAUCACCAUUGCUAUUUUUCGUUCUGGCUUCCGCGCUCUCUCUCUAGGAGUUGAUAUAAUGUCUCUCUCUUCAUAAGUGUAUAUAUUCAUGCUCUAAAUAUUGAAUUCACACAAUCAUGGGAAUUUUUUUAAUGUGCCUUUUGGAACUUCCAUAGGACAAAAA